UACGAAGGGAGCUAGCGUUGUUCGGAAUUACUGGGCGUAAAGCGCAUGCAGGCGGAUCGUUAAGUCGGGGGUGAAAUCCCGAGGCUCAACCUCGGAACUGCCUUCGAUACUGGAGAUCUUGAGACCGGAAGAGGUAAGUGGAACUGCGAGUGUAGAGGUGAAAUUCGUAGAUAUUCGCAAGAACACCAGUGGCGAAGGCGGCUUACUGGUCCGGUUCUGACGCUGAGGCGCGAAAGCGUGGGGAGCAAACAGG
This 253-nucleotide ribosomal RNA is filed under the name uncultured bacterium. RNAcentral's name for it is "partial 16S ribosomal RNA". It matches the Rfam family "Bacterial small subunit ribosomal RNA", at positions 524 to 776 of the family's 1533-position model. The record is from RNAcentral.